This 130-nucleotide non-coding RNA is filed under the name Streptomyces sp. NRRL F-5122. Its description in RNAcentral is "Streptomyces RNA 5676". It matches the Rfam family "Streptomyces RNA 5676". Rfam says of the family: Identified by deep sequencing of transcriptome at the end of exponential growth phase. Lineage: Bacteria; Bacillati; Actinomycetota; Actinomycetes; Kitasatosporales; Streptomycetaceae. The record is from Rfam by way of RNAcentral.
AGAUGAGAGAAACACCCCACCCACAGGGGACUGUGGGUGACAUCGGGCCGAGGCCUCCCCAGCUUCGACCUGGUCGUGCCCUCGCGCACAAACCCGGAGCUUUCGGCUCUGGAUCUCCUCACCGAUCGGA